ACAGCGUGUCAGAUUCCUGUGGUAUGCUCCUUUCUGGCUGGACUUGCACCUGCUGCGAGCUUUAACCCUACACUCAUACUGAGCACAGACUGAGGAGCCUCUGCCAAACUUCAGUCAAAAAAAAUCCAGGGCCAACUAUAUGCGGCCAGACUGACUCAACUGUAGUUGGUGGAUACUCUGCAGAAGUUCCUGGACUAUGCUGGAAGAGGACACUGGCCCGAGUGUGGGGUCAGCGAGGGACUGAAGACACAGGACUCCCUCGGGAGGGCUAUCGGCAUGAGAUCUCACAAUGUUCAGGAAUUUCCCCAGCAUCCCUUACUAGAGCAGGCAGUGUGUGUUUCUGAGUAGCCAACGUACUGGCGCAACUAC
Clupea harengus (Atlantic herring) is the source of this 369-nucleotide long non-coding RNA. RefSeq lists it as uncharacterized. The transcript is spliced from 3 exons. Lineage: Eukaryota; Metazoa; Chordata; Actinopteri; Clupeiformes; Clupeidae. The record is from RefSeq and is a predicted model, not a curated record.